UNUGACUUGAGUGCAGAAGGGGAGAGUGGAAUNCCAUGUGUAGCGGUGAAAUGCGUAGAUAUAUGGAGGAACACCAGUGGCGAAAGCGGCUCUCUGGUCUGUCACUGACGCUGAGGCUNGAAAGCGUGGGUAGCGAACAGGAUUAGAUACCCUGGUAGUNCACGCCGUAAACGAUGAGUGCUAGGUGUUAGGCCCUUUCCGGGGCUUAGUGCCGGAGCUAACGCAAUAAGCACUCCGCCUGGGGAGUACGACCGCAAGGUUGAAACUCAAAGGAAUUGACGGGGGCCCGCACAAGCGGUGGAGCAUGUGGUUUAAUUCGAAGCAACGCGAAGAACCUUACCAGGUCUUGACAUCCCGAUGCUAUUCUUAGAGAUAGGAAGUUACUUCGGUACAUCGGAGACAGGUGGUGCAUGGUUGUCGUCAGCUCGUGUCGUGAGAUGUUGGGUUAAGUCCCGCAACGAGCGCAACCCUUAUUGUUAGUUGCCAUCAUUAAGUUGGGCACUCUAGCGAGACUGCCGGUAAUAAACCGGAGGAAGGUGGGGAUGACGUCAAAUCAUCAUGCCCCUUAUGACCUGGGCUACACACGUGCUACAAUGGUCGGUACAACGAGUUGCGAGCCGGUGACGGCAAGCUAAUCUCUGAAAGCCGAUCUCAGUUCGGAUUGGAGGCUGCAACUCGCCUCCAUGAAGUCGGAAUCGCUAGUAAUCGCGGAUCAGCACGCCGCGGUGAAUACGUUCCCGGGCCUUGUACACACCGCCCGUCACACCACGAGAGUUUGUAACACCC
RNAcentral lists this ribosomal RNA (786 nucleotides) under uncultured bacterium. RNAcentral describes it as "bacterial SSU rRNA". It matches the Rfam family "Bacterial small subunit ribosomal RNA", at positions 636 to 1422 of the family's 1533-position model. The record is from RNAcentral.